AUUGAACGCUGGCGGCAGGCCUAACACAUGCAAGUCGAACGAGUGGCGGACGGGUGAGUAAUGUCUGGGAAACUGCCUGAUGGAGGGGGAUGACGACUGGAAACGGUAGCUAAUACCGCAUACCAUCAGAUGUGCUCAGAUGGGAUUAGCUAGUUGGUGGGGUAACGGCUCACCAAGGCGACGAUCCCUAGCUGGUCUGAGAGGAUGACCAGCCACACUGGAACUGAGACACGGCCCAGACUCCUACGGGAGGCAGCAGUGGGGAAUAUUGCACAAUGGGCGAAAGCCUGAUGCAGCCAUGCCGCGUGAAUGAAGAAGGCUUUCGGGUUGUAAAGUACUUUCAGCGGGGAGGCGUUACCCGAAGAAGAAGCACCGGCUAACUCCGUGCCAGCAGCCGCGGUAAUAC
RNAcentral lists this ribosomal RNA (406 nucleotides) under uncultured bacterium. RNAcentral's name for it is "partial 16S ribosomal RNA". It matches the Rfam family "Bacterial small subunit ribosomal RNA", at positions 30 to 526 of the family's 1533-position model. The record is from RNAcentral.